UGAAGGAUGAUCCACGUUGAACACAAAUUCGACACUGAGUCGGAGCAAUAUCCAUGACGCACCGUGUCCUGACCGUGGAAGCGGCCCUCUGUGUUGCCUCUGCCCCCUCCCUCUCUCGCGGAUGGGGCGGACGCGCGCAGGGGG
Molecule: small nucleolar RNA, 144 nt
Filed under: Leishmania donovani
Lineage: Eukaryota; Euglenozoa; Kinetoplastea; Trypanosomatida; Trypanosomatidae
Description: C/D box snoRNA LD35Cs1C2
Source: RNAcentral